GGGUGCCCUUCGGGAAUUCCGAGACAGGUGCUGCAUGGCUGUCGUCAGCUCGUGCCGUGAGGUGUUGGGUUAAGUCCCGCAACGAGCGCAACCCUAUUGCCAGUUGCUACCAGGUAAUGCUGGGCACUCUGGUGAGACUGCCCGUUAACGGGGAGGAAGUGGGGACGACGUCAAGUCAUCAUGGCCCUUACGCCUAGGGCUACACACGUACUACAAUGGCGCAUACAAAGGGCAGCGAUACCGCGAGGUGGAGCCAAUCCCAAAAAGUGCGUCCCAGUCCGGAUUGCAGUCUGCAACUCGACUGCAUGAAGUUGGAAUCGCUAGUAAUUCGAGAUCAGCAUGCUCGGGUGAAUGCGUUCCCGGGCCUU
This 368-nucleotide ribosomal RNA is filed under the name uncultured Desulfovibrio sp. Its description in RNAcentral is "bacterial SSU rRNA". It matches the Rfam family "Bacterial small subunit ribosomal RNA", at positions 1012 to 1382 of the family's 1533-position model. Lineage: Bacteria; Pseudomonadati; Thermodesulfobacteriota; Desulfovibrionia; Desulfovibrionales; Desulfovibrionaceae. The record is from RNAcentral.